Molecule: ribosomal RNA, 448 nt
Filed under: uncultured bacterium
Lineage: Bacteria
Description: bacterial SSU rRNA
Rfam family: Bacterial small subunit ribosomal RNA
Source: RNAcentral
UCGAGAAUUUUUCUCAAUGGGGGAAACCCUGAAGGAGCGACGCCGCGUGGAGGAUGAAGGUCUUCGGAUUGUAAACUCCUGUCAUUUGGGAACAAUUGUUGGCGAUUAACUGUCGUCAGCUUGAUAGUACCAGAAGAGGAAGAGACGGCUAACUCUGUGCCAGCAGCCGCGGUAAUACAGAGGUCUCAAGCGUUGUUCGGAUUCAUUGGGCGUAAAGGGUGCGUAGGUGGCGGGGUAAGUCAGGUGUGAAAUCUCGGGGCUCAACCCCGAAACUGCACUUGAUACUGCCUUGCUCGAGUACUGGAGAGGAGAUUGGAAUUUACGGUGUAGCAGUGAAAUGCGUAGAUAUCGUAAGGAAGACCAGUGGCGAAGGCGAAUCUCUGGACAGUUACUGACACUGAGGCACGAAGGCCAGGGGAGCAAACGGGAUUAGAUACCCCCGUAGUCC